AUUGAACGCUGGCGGCAUGCCUUACACAUGCAAGUCGAACGGCAGCACGGGAGCAAUCCUGGUGGCGAGUGGCGAACGGGUGAGUAAUACAUCGGAACGUGCCCAGUAGUGGGGAUAACCCGGCGAAGCCGGACUAAUACCGCAUACGACCUACGGGUGAAAGCAGGGGAGUCGCAAGACCUUGCGCUAUCGGAGCGGCCGAUGUCAGAUUAGCUAGUUGGUGGGGAAAGGCCUACCAAGGCGACGAUCUGUAGCUGGUCUGAGAGGACGACCAGCCACACUGGGACUGAGACACGGCCCAGACUCCUACGGGAGGCAGCAGUGGGGAAUUUUGGACAAUGGGCGCAAGCCUGAUCCAGCCAUGCCGCGUGCGGGAAGAAGGCCU
RNAcentral lists this ribosomal RNA (385 nucleotides) under uncultured bacterium. RNAcentral's name for it is "bacterial SSU rRNA". It matches the Rfam family "Bacterial small subunit ribosomal RNA", at positions 29 to 417 of the family's 1533-position model. The record is from RNAcentral.